RNAcentral lists this ribosomal RNA (397 nucleotides) under uncultured Glomeraceae. RNAcentral's name for it is "SSU rRNA". It matches the Rfam family "Eukaryotic small subunit ribosomal RNA", at positions 548 to 950 of the family's 1831-position model. Lineage: Eukaryota; Fungi; Glomeromycota; Glomeromycetes; Glomerales; Glomeraceae. The record is from RNAcentral.
UUGGAGGGCAAGUCUGGUGCCAGCAGCCGCGGUAAUUCCAGCUCCAAUAGCGUAUAUUAAAGUUGUUGCAGUUAAAAGCUCGUAGUUGAAUUUCGGGAUCAGUAUGUUGGUCGUGCUUCGGUACGUACUGUCAUUACUGGUUUCUACCUUCUGAAGAACCUUGAUGUCAUUAAUUUGGUGUCGUUGGGGAAUCAGGACUGUUACUUUAGAAAAAUUGAGUGUUUAAAGCAAGCAUACGCUUGAAUACAUUAGCAUGGAAUAAUGAAAUAGGACGUUUGAUUCUAUUUUGUUGGUUUCUAGGAUCGACGUAAUGAUUAAUAGGGAUAGGUUGGGGGCAUUAGUAUUCAAUUGUCAGAGGUGAAAUUCUUGGAUUUAUUGAAGACUAACUACUGCGAAA